Molecule: ribosomal RNA, 450 nt
Filed under: uncultured bacterium
Lineage: Bacteria
Description: partial 16S ribosomal RNA
Rfam family: Bacterial small subunit ribosomal RNA
Source: RNAcentral
GUGGGGAAUAUUUGACAAUGGGCGAAAGCCUGAUCCAGCCAUGCCGCGUGUGUGAAGAAGGUCUUCGGAUUGUAAAGCACUUUAAGUUGGGAGGAAGGGCAGUAAGUUAAUACCUUGCUGUUUUGACGUUACCGACAGAAUAAGCACCGGCUAACUUCGUGCCAGCAGCCGCGGUAAUACGAAGGGUGCAAGCGUUAAUCGGAAUUACUGGGCGUAAAGCGCGCGUAGGUGGUUUUGUAAGUUGGAGGUGAAAUCCCCGGGCUCAACCUGGGAACUGCCUCCAAAACUGCAUGACUAGAGUACGGUAGAGGGUAGUGGAAUUUCCUGUGUAGCGGUGAAAUGCGUAGAUAUAGGAAGGAACACCAGUGGCGAAGGCGACUACCUGGACUGAUACUGACACUGAGGUGCGAAAGCGUGGGGAGCAAACAGGAUUAGAAACCCUAGUAGUCC